CCUACGGGCGGCAGCAGUGAGGAAUAUUGGUCAAUGGGCGAGAGCCUGAACCAGCCAAGCCGCGUGAGUGAAGACGGCCCUAUGGGUUGUAAACCUCUUUUGUCGGGGAGCAAAACCCGGGACGUGUCCCGCCCUGCGUGUAUCCGAAGAAAAAGCAUCGGCUAACUCCGUGCCAGCAGCCGCGGUAAUACGGAGGAUGCGAGCGUUAUCCGGAUUUAUUGGGUUUAAAGGGUGCGUAGGGGGUACGGUAAGUCAGCGGUAAAAUUGAGGGGCUAAACCCCGUCGAGCCGUUGAAUCUGGGAGACUUGAGUGGGGGAGAAGUGAGCGGAAUGCGAGGUGUAGCGGUGAAAUGCAUAGAUAUCGCGCAGAACUCCGAUUGCGAAGGCAGCGUACCGGCGCCCAACUGACGCUGAGGCACGAAAGCGUGGGGAUCGAACAGGAUUAGAUACCCUGGUAGUC
This 459-nucleotide ribosomal RNA is filed under the name uncultured bacterium. RNAcentral's name for it is "partial 16S ribosomal RNA". It matches the Rfam family "Bacterial small subunit ribosomal RNA", at positions 338 to 795 of the family's 1533-position model. The record is from RNAcentral.